AGGGCACCACCAGGAGUGGAGCCUGCGGCUUAAUUUGACUCAACACGGGAAAUCUCACCAGGCCCGGACACCGGAAGGAUUGACAGAUUGAGAGCUCUUUCUUGAUUCGGUGGGUGGUGGUGCAUGGCCGUUCUUAGUUGGUGGAGCGAUUUGUCUGGUUAAUUCCGAUAACGAACGAGACUCUGGCCUACUAACUAGAUGGAGGAUCCCUUCGUGGGUUCUUCACUGCUUCUUAGAGGGACGGGCGGCGUUUAGCCGCACGAGAUUGAGCAAUAACAGGUCUGUGAUGCCCUUAGAUGUUCUGGGCUGCACGCGCGCUACACUGAAGGAAUCAGCGUGUCCUCCCCGCUCUGAAAAGAGUGGGUAACCCGUUGAAACUCCUUCGUGAUGGGGAUUGGAGAUUGUAAUUAUUCUCCAUGAACGAGGAAUUCCCAGUAGGCGCGAGUCAUCAGCUUGCGUCGAUUACGUCCCUGCCCUUUGUACACACCGCCCGUCGCUACUACCGAUCGAGUGAUUUAG
RNAcentral lists this ribosomal RNA (519 nucleotides) under uncultured eukaryote. Its description in RNAcentral is "SSU rRNA". It matches the Rfam family "Eukaryotic small subunit ribosomal RNA", at positions 1161 to 1701 of the family's 1831-position model. The record is from RNAcentral.